GGCGAAUGAACAAAUUAUCUUUACUAUAAUUUACUAUAAUUUUUCUCGGAGAAUAUAUAUAGAAUUGCCUUAAUGCUCGUACAAUCAAAUAAAAAAUCCACUAAUCUAAAAAUAAAUGACUUGAAAUAAAAAAGCCAUAUUGAGAGAGGAUACAACGUUCAACAUAUAGCUUGGAUUCAAUAAAAAGAUUCAAUAAAGAAUUAUCGGUUUUUACAGGCGGAAAGUUUCAAGUGGAUUUUCAAUACCACUCUAAAAAGAAAGUUCUUUAGUGCCGCCGCUCGGCUGAUAAUGUGCCUGUUUAUAAAGGAUAAAGGCACAAAGCAAAAACGAAGAAACACGAUUAGAGAGGAAGAGUGCCGAGGCAUUCUGGAUGGAAUAGACCGUCUUUAAUAUAUCGAUUAUAUAUCGGUGACUAAGGUACCCCUUUUACAUUAGAUGAGCGCAGCAUCUUUAUCUUUCCGGCAUAUGAAUGAGCGGCAAGCUUAUCCGAGAAUUUUCCGAGAACCUCACGCUCAUUCUUCGCGCUUUUAUUAUCAUUAAUUGCGAAACAUUAAAAUGAAGGCUGUGUUAAUAAAAUCUGCAAAAUAA
Molecule: long non-coding RNA, 588 nt
Organism: Wasmannia auropunctata (little fire ant)
Lineage: Eukaryota; Metazoa; Arthropoda; Insecta; Hymenoptera; Formicidae
Exons: 2
Source: RefSeq, a predicted model, not a curated record